GAUGGACGCUAGCGGCAGGCUUAACACAUGCAAGUCAGGGGUAACAUAGAAAAGCUUGCUUUUCUGAUGACGACCGGCGCACGGGUGCGUAACGCGUAUACAACCUACCUUUUAGCGGGGAAUAGCCCAGGGAAACUUGGAUUAAUGCCCCAUAGUAUAUAGACUUCUCCUGAAGUUUAUAUUAAACAUUUAUGGCUAUUAGAUGGGUAUGCGUCCUAUUAGUUAGUUGGUAAGGUAACGGCUUACCAAGGCAGCGAUAGGUAGGGGUCCUGAGAGGGAGAUCCCCACACUGGUACUGAGACACGGACCAGACUCCUACGGGAGGCAGCAGUGAGGAAUAUUGGACAAUGGGCGAGAGCCUGAUCCAGCCAUGCCGCGUGCAGGAAGACUGCCCUAUGGGUUGUAAACUGCUUUUACAGAGGAAGAACCACCCCCACGUGUGGGGGUUUGACGGUACUCUGCGAAUAAGGAUCGGCUAACUCCGUG
Molecule: ribosomal RNA, 486 nt
Filed under: uncultured bacterium
Lineage: Bacteria
Description: bacterial SSU rRNA
Rfam family: Bacterial small subunit ribosomal RNA
Source: RNAcentral